UACAGAGGUGGCAAGCGUUGUUCGGAAUUACUGGGCGUAAAGGGCGCGUAGGCGGUUCGAUAAGUCCCGUGUGAAAGCCCCCGGCUCAACUGGGGAACUGCACGGGAAACUGACGGACUUGAGUUCGGGAGAGGGAAGCGGAAUUCCGGGUGUAGCGGUGAAAUGCGUAGAUAUCCGGAGGAACACCGGUGGCGAAGGCGGCUUCCUGGACCGACACUGACGCUGAGGCGCGAAAGCGUGGGGAGCAAACAGG
RNAcentral lists this ribosomal RNA (253 nucleotides) under uncultured bacterium. Its description in RNAcentral is "partial 16S ribosomal RNA". It matches the Rfam family "Bacterial small subunit ribosomal RNA", at positions 524 to 776 of the family's 1533-position model. The record is from RNAcentral.